RNAcentral lists this ribosomal RNA (497 nucleotides) under uncultured bacterium. Its description in RNAcentral is "partial 16S ribosomal RNA". It matches the Rfam family "Bacterial small subunit ribosomal RNA", at positions 28 to 507 of the family's 1533-position model. The record is from RNAcentral.
GAUGAACGCUGGCGGCGUGCCUAAUACAUGCAAGUCGAGCGAACAGACGAGGAUCUUGCUCCUCUGACGUUAGCGGCGGACGGGUGAGUAACACGUGGAUAACCUACCUAUAAGACUGGGAUAACUUCGGGAAACCGGAGCUAAUACCGGAUAAUAUAUUGAACCGCAUGGUUCAAUAGUGAAAGACGGUUUUGCUGUCACUUAUAGAUGGAUCCGCGCCGCAUUAGCUAGUUGGUAAGGUAACGGCUUACCAAGGCAACGAUGCGUAGCCGACCUGAGAGGGUGAGCGGCCACACUGGAACUGAGACACGGUCCAGACUCCUACGGGAGGCAGCAGUAGGGAAUCUUGCGCAAUGGGCGAAAGCCUGACGGAGCAACGCCGCGUGGGUGAUGAAGGUCUUCGGAUCGGAAAACACUGUUAUUAGGGAAGAACAAAUGUGUAAGUAACUAUGCACGUCUUGACGGUACCUAAUCAGAAAGCAACGGCUAACUACGUG